RNAcentral lists this non-coding RNA (24 nucleotides) under Arabidopsis thaliana (thale cress). The record is from RNAcentral. Lineage: Eukaryota; Viridiplantae; Streptophyta; Magnoliopsida; Brassicales; Brassicaceae.
AUGGUGCUAUAUUCUUUAUUUCAU